UGGGGAAUAUUGCGCAAUGGGGGGAACCCUGACGCAGCCAUGCCGCGUGAAUGAAGAAGGCCUUAGGGUUGUAAAGUUCUUUCGGUAUUGAGGAAGGUUGAUGUGUUAACAGCACAUCAAAUUGACGUUAAAUACAGAAGAAGCACCGGCUAACUCCGUGCCAGCAGCCGCGGUAAUACGGAGGGUGCGAGCGUUAAUCGGAAUAACUGGGCGUAAAGGGCACGCAGGCGGUUAUUUAAGUGAGGUGUGAAAGCCCCGGGCUUAACCUGGGAAUUGCAUUUCAGACUGGGUAACUAGAGUACUUUAGGGAGGGGUAGAAUUCCACGUGUAGCGGUGAAAUGCGUAGAGAUGUGGAGGAAUACCGAAGGCGAAGGCAGCCCCUUGGGAAUGUACUGACGCUCAUGUGCGAAAGCGUGGGGAGCAAACAGGAUUAGAUACCCUGGUAGUCCACGCUGUAAACGCUGUCGAUUUGGGGGUUGGGGUUUAACUCUGGCGCCCGUAGCUAACGUGAUAAAUCGACCGCCUGGGGAGUACGGCCGCAAGGUUA
RNAcentral lists this ribosomal RNA (547 nucleotides) under uncultured bacterium. RNAcentral describes it as "bacterial SSU rRNA". It matches the Rfam family "Bacterial small subunit ribosomal RNA", at positions 355 to 896 of the family's 1533-position model. The record is from RNAcentral.